Gorilla gorilla gorilla (western lowland gorilla) is the source of this 2284-nucleotide long non-coding RNA. RefSeq lists it as uncharacterized. The record is from RefSeq and is a predicted model, not a curated record. NCBI's taxonomy places the organism in Eukaryota, Metazoa, Chordata, Mammalia, Primates, Hominidae. The transcript is spliced from 3 exons.
CCCAGCAAAAGAACGGCACACAGCAGUUGCUGCCCAAGCCUGGGUGCUCCUGGUGGUCCUGCACGAUCGGCUGUGCAGUAGGCUUGUCAAGGAGAGGAUCCUCCCUGGCCUCUCCUUGGGCAGAGGAGGUGGUCCAUAAAGCUGCCCUGGAGCCAAAAUAUUGCAGUCACAUCUCGGCAGCGACCUGCCCUCAGGUGGCAUUUUCAAGUCAUGGAGAAGGCGGAGCAGAGAUGAGGUUUUACCACAUUGGCCAGGCUGAUCUCAAACUCCCGACCUCAAGCGAUUCUCCUGCCUCAGCCUCCCAAAGUGCUGGGAUUAUAGGCAUGAGCCACUGCACCUGGUAUAAGGAGCCUGUUAUAGCACUGUCUCUUCCCCUGUGAUUGGGGGCUCCAUGCCUCUAGCUGGGAUGAUGAUGUCCAGACCUGAGAGGAGCCCAGGGCUACCCACCUUUAAAAGUCAGAGGCAGGAAGCAAGAAACAGUCACAGGACUGCCCUGGGGGGUGCUGUGGUCACCAGCCCCCAGGCUGGAAGCUGCCUCUGGCCUGGCACCUCCCCUCCCAAGAGGCUGCUGCCCGCCUCCCAGCCCUUCUUGGAUGGGGUGGAGGUUUCCGUCUCCUUCACCUCACCAAGCUUCUCCUGUAGCUCCUUUACUUGCUGCUCCAACUGCAGUGCGCUCUUGUUCUCAUUGUUCUGGACAGCGAGAAGCAAUCGGCAGCCACCCACUGCAGCUGGAGACCCCAGAACUUGGUGUCUGCCUCCCAUGGCACUGGGAAGGCUGGAGGCAGGUUAGAAAAAUCACCCCCUCUCCCACAGCCACCUGGCUCACAGGUGCCUUUAGAAGUAACCUUUCACGUGAGGGCUACACUGCCCCAUUUUAGAGGUGGGGAAACAAAGGCCCGGAGGGCUAGGGAGGAGGGCAGGCUCCCCAGUUGGGGCAACGCACCGGCUCCUCAAAGACGCUCUGUGGCUUGGCCAGCUGCUGAAGCUUCUCAUGCUGCUCCUGAAGCCUCUCCUCCUGCUUCCGAAGCCUCUCUUCCUGCUCCCGAAUCCUCUCUUCUUGUCGCCGGUUCAGGAGACUUAUGUGCUGAUUGUUUUUGACCUGGGCCUGGAGCUCUCCUGCCACUCUCUCUAGUUCCUUCCUCAGGUGCUGCAGCUCCACCUCAGAGGGCACUGCUGGGGGCUCCGGGGGCAAGGGUUCAGCUGAGAAAGGAAGCAGAUAAUAAGGGCCUCUGGAUUCUCGAAAAAGAAAAACCCCCCUCUUGGCGCACAGCUCCUCUCAGGCUCCUCAAACUUGGCCUCACUGCUAAUGAUUCCUCGCACCCAGAUGGUAGCCAGUCUUCCAAAGCACUUUCAGAGAAAGAGCACUGCGGUUGGCUGACAACGGGCCCUCUUUGCUGAUGGGGACACUGACACACUGAGACUCAUUGAGAUGACAAGACUCACCGUCUCCUGGCACAGAUCUCUUUCCCUCUGCCUCAAAGCCCUUCCAUCCACCCACCUCCCUGGGGCAUUCUAAGCCACCCUCACAGCCCUCUGAUGCCAGUCCUGCUCCCAGGUCAUGCCAGCCCCAUCUUACCCAUCUGGUUUUUAAGUUCGGACAAGCUCCUCUCCAGCUCCUCUACCCGAUGAGUAUAAUGCUCCUUCUCUGUCUUCAGUGUGUAAACCUGCCCAAAGCACAGGGGGAAAGGGCCCUGGAGAGAGGGGCUGGUGGCUGGACAGGCUGCCCUCUCCCUCUCUGCCCCCACCUCCACAAAGCCCAGACCCAUGACCACCUCUGGCUCUACUAUUCCCAUUUUACAGAUGCCCAGAAAGAUCCAGGGACCUAUCUAAUGUGGGGGGGCUGAAGGGUCAGAUCUCACCUCCUGCGACAUUUUUCUCAUCCUCUGCUGCCACAGGGCCCUCUCUCCUUUUAUACGAUCAGCAUACUCAUCUUUUUCUAAUUGGACUUGUUCAAAUGACUUCUUCAACUGCAAGAAUGGGCACAGAAGUUAGGAAGGGCUGUCACUGGUCCUCACCUGCUCCUGGCCACCUGGGGUCAUCGUCCUUCCACAUCCCUCCCUCGGAAAACCUCACCUGUGUCAGCUGCACUUUCAGUAGUGCCUGCUCCCGCACGGACUGCUCUAACCACCACUCCGUACGUGCUUUGCUGCGGCUGGACAACUGGAUGGUGAAGAGUGAGAAGUUUCAAUCUGGAGAGCCUGGGCAUUUCCACACAGUGCCCCUUAAAGGGGCUAGGGCUAGGCCCAGUAUACAACUCGGUCAGUAAAGAUCAAGGCAUUUCCCA